GUCCUCUUGUUUUUAUUUGAGGUCAUGCCUGCCCGGUGAUUGUUUUUAACGGCCGCGGUAUUUUGACCGUGCAAAGGUAGCAUAAUCAUUAGUCUUUUAAUAGAAGGCUGGAAUGAAGGGUUUAACGAAACAUUAACUGUCUCGAAUGUAUUAUUUAUAAUUUAAUUUUUAAGUUAAAAAGCUUAAAUUUUUUUGUAGGACGAGAAGACCCUAUAGAGCUUUACAUUUAUAUUGUCUAAUAUUAUUUAGGUUAUUGUAAGAUAUUUUUUAUAUAAUGUUUUGUUGGGGUGACAAGAAAUAUAUAUUUAACUUUUUUAUUUUAUUUACAUAAAUUUAUGUUAACUUGAUCCUUUUUUAUUGAUUAUUAGAUUAAGUUACCUUAGGGAUAACAGCGUAAUCUUUCUUUGGAGAUCUAAUUUAUAGAAAGGCUUGCGACCUCGAUGUUGGAUUAAGAUUAUUUUUUGGUGCAGUAGCUAAUUAAAUAGGUCUGUUCGACCUUUAAAAUCUUACAUGAUCUGAGUUCAGACCGG
RNAcentral lists this ribosomal RNA (530 nucleotides) under Mesocnemis singularis. RNAcentral describes it as "partial 16S ribosomal RNA". It matches the Rfam family "Bacterial large subunit ribosomal RNA", at positions 1831 to 2619 of the family's 2925-position model. The record is from RNAcentral. Lineage: Eukaryota; Metazoa; Arthropoda; Insecta; Odonata; Platycnemididae.